ACAGGUCAGUCUAAACGAUCCGCUCUUCCACAUUCCACGGUUACUCCGUAACCACAAAGGUCCAUUCUUUUCUCCAGUGAGAUUGCAUCUCAUCGAUCUCUUAAUCUCUCCACAUCCUUCUCUCUCACGCCGCCAGCUGCCUCGCGGCCCACCGCGCCUCUAGCCUCACAUCCUCCUGCCGCCCCCGUGCGCCUUGCCACGGGUUCACGGACGACCUACCAGCGCACUAAGCCGUCGGCCUACCUCCGCGGCGAAGUUGCCGUGUGGCCGGCUGCCCUGUGCAAUUCGGAUCUUGAGAGAUUGGAGCAAAGUGAGGAAAUCAGAUUGGAGUUUUUAUUUUCUUCCUUUCCUGGGGUCAAAAUUAUACAGGUGAACAUGAACCUUGCACAAUUUUCUGUUUGGUGACUAUGGCGAUUUGUUCUAUGCCGAUUCAUUUAGUCGAAACACCAGGACUAGCCACUGAACUCUGGUCAUCAAGCUGUUGGUCAUCUUAUUAUCUUAUUUAUAUCAAGAUGGAUGCUCUGCCCAAAAUAUGCGUGGCUGCCGGUGACUACGAGGUGUUUCCUCACUUCUGCAUUUCAGUUACGUGGCAUAGGGACUAAUCCAAGGCAUGCAUAGCCAAACCAAGAUCAAUCUUCCAUGCUCAAGGUCAUCUGCAAUUAGAAAUUUAGAAUCACUGUUUUUGUACCUGACUACCGGAAACCUGAGGUAUAUAAUGAUAAGAUAUGGUCAUUAUGCUUGAUUUUCUUCAGAGACAUGGAUCUGUUAUUUUUUUUAUCCCAUGAUGUAUCUUUCCUCCCUCAAAUAUGAAAACGCAUUGAGGGGCGACCAUUCCGCAUCCCAUGAUUUGAUGAGAUUAAAUGAGAAGUAUGAAAGGCUAGCUGUAGCAUUAGAAAAACAAAAGUUAAUGAUGUUCAGUUGUAUGGGAAGAUUUGGUAUGUCCAGGACUACAAUCAUGAGAAGAUUCUUUCUAGAGGACCAAAGAUGGUUUAGUAUAAGUCCUUACGACGGAUUUACAUACUUCAUAUUAUCUAGCAUUUGACCUUUGUUAUGUUGCAGCUAGAUAUUGAAAUUGGUUCUUCAGAUGUGGAAACAAAGUACAGGCAUGUCAUAAAUCCUUUUGGUGCCUUUUCAAGGAAGGCAGAUAUAUGUGAACAUAUCAUCAGCAACAUGUGUUAUUUAUGGUGUUCUGCAAUUGCAAAUGAUGAACUGACCAAGUGGUUCUUCUAGGUGUAAGAUAUUGGCAUUUAUCGAACAAGUCGAUAAGAUUGCAGUAUUUCAUAGUACUUCUUAAUUAGCUGGCUAUGCUCUUUUCCAGCUUGCUCGUGGGUCACAAGUAAAUGUCGGUACGCCUUUUUUAUUGGCUAUCAUGUUUCUGGAAUACUAUCUAUGAAGUUUAUUCAAGAGAGUAGAGAAUAUAUUUUUUAUCAUUCUUAACGCUGCAUGUCAAGGCUUCCAUUGUAGCCUCCAUCUCCUCGGACCUCUGUCGUCACGACGGUCUAUUUUUGUUAUUUAUAUGAAGAACAUGUGGCACUCGACCUGAAUAUUGGGAUGUUCACCACUGGGACUUUGACACGUUGCUUUGAUGCCGAUAAUAUUUCCAGCUAGAUUUAAUGACCUUUCCAUUUACAUGGUCUUAUUUCAGGUAAAUACCUUUGCUGCCACAAAUAGAGAGAUAUGACUCAUGCGAAUCAGUUAGUAUUAUGUUACCCUACAAUAUUGUAAGGAUAAACUUCCUCUGGUAUGCCAUUGAGGACAAUGAUACAUGAUAGAUGGGAAGUUAAAAGCCACAGCUCAAAUCCGGUAAUUUUUGUGUACUAUAUGGUUGUCUCAGUCCAUGCCAUUUGUAUUCUAUUUUGACUCGCUGAAAUGGAAAAAAUAAUCAGAAUAAUCGUAUUGUCCGAGGUCUAAAAAACGUCAUGCUUGAGAUCAUAAACCUCAAGAAUUAUCUUUUUUUAUGUAGCUCAUAAAUUUCUAUGUAUAAUUUUAUUUUUGUUACAAGCAAAUUCAGGCAACAAGGCGGUACAUGUGGGUCUCAUUGGUUAUCUAUGUAUAGGUUCUCAUGCUCUUUACAGCAUUGUGUCGUACUUACUUUGGCCAAAAAAGAGAAAAUGACACGGUACUCUUUUGCUUUGAUGAACAUGAUGACUGCUUUCAUUACUCAUGAUACUGGAGCUUACUCACUGUCAAGUAUAUCAAUAUACUACAAUGGACAA
Molecule: long non-coding RNA, 2216 nt
Organism: Aegilops tauschii subsp. strangulata
Lineage: Eukaryota; Viridiplantae; Streptophyta; Magnoliopsida; Poales; Poaceae
Source: RefSeq, a predicted model, not a curated record